AGAGGAAGUAAAAGUCGUAACAAGGUUUCCGUAGGUGAACCUGCGGAAGGAUCAUUCAUAAUAAGUGUUUUAUGGCACUUUUUAAAUCCAUAUCCACCUUGUGUGCAAUGUCAGUCGUUCUCUUUUUUGAGAGCGACCAAACAUCAACUUAUUCUUUAACUCUUUGUCUGAAAAAUAUUAUGAAUAAAAUAAUUCAAAAUACAACUUUCAACAACGGAUCUCUUGGCUCUCGCAUCGAUGAAGAACGCAGCGAAAUGCGAUACGUAAUGUGAAUUGCAGAAUUCAGUGAAUCAUCGAAUCUUUGAACGCAUAUUGCGCUCUUUGGUAUUCCGAAGAGCAUGCUUGUUUGAGUAUCAGUAAACACCUCAAAGACUUCAAUUUGUUUUGAAUGGCUUUGGACUUGAGCAAUCCCAACACCAGUCUUUACGAUCGGUGGAGGGUUGCUUGAAAUGCAGGUGCAGCUGGACAUUCUCCUGAGCUAAAAGCAUAUUUAUUUAGUCCCGUCAAACGGAUUAUUACUUUUGCUGCAGCUAACAUAAAGGGAGUUUGACCGUAUUGGCUGACUGAUGCAGGAUUUCACAAGGGUCGGCAACGAUUCUUGUAAAACUCGAUCUCAAAUCAAGUAAGACUACCCGCUGAACUUAAGCAUAUCAAAG
This 656-nucleotide ribosomal RNA is filed under the name Mortierella sp. 02NH02. Its description in RNAcentral is "eukaryotic LSU rRNA". The stretch from base 203 to 356 matches the Rfam family "5.8S ribosomal RNA". Lineage: Eukaryota; Fungi; Mortierellomycota; Mortierellomycetes; Mortierellales; Mortierellaceae. The record is from RNAcentral.